UACGGGGGGGGCAAGCGUUGUUCGGAAUUACUGGGCGUAAAGGGCUCGUAGGUGGCCAACUAAGUCGGACGUGAAAUCCCUCGGCUUAACCGGGGAACUGCAUCCGAUACUGGAUGGCUUGAGUUCGGGAGAGGGAUGCGGAAUUCCAGGUGUAGCGGUGAAAUGCGUAGAUAUCAUCAGGAACACCGGUGGCGAAAGCGGCUCACUGGGUAUCUUCUGACGCUGAGGGACGAAAGCUAGGGGAGCGAACGGG
RNAcentral lists this ribosomal RNA (253 nucleotides) under uncultured bacterium. Its description in RNAcentral is "partial 16S ribosomal RNA". It matches the Rfam family "Bacterial small subunit ribosomal RNA", at positions 524 to 776 of the family's 1533-position model. The record is from RNAcentral.